This 253-nucleotide ribosomal RNA is filed under the name uncultured bacterium. RNAcentral describes it as "partial 16S ribosomal RNA". It matches the Rfam family "Bacterial small subunit ribosomal RNA", at positions 524 to 776 of the family's 1533-position model. The record is from RNAcentral.
UACGGAGGGUGCAAGCGUUGUCCGGAUUUAUUGGGUUUAAAGGGUGCGUAGGUGGCUUUUUAAGUCAGUGGUGAAAGCCUGCAGCUUAACUGUAGGACUGCCAUUGAUACUGAGAAGCUUGAGUACUGAUGAGGUAGGCGGAAUUGAUAGUGUAGCGGUGAAAUGCAUAGAUAUUAUCAAGAACACCGAUUGCGAAGGCAGCUUACUAAGGAGUUACUGACACUGAGGCACGAAAGCGUGGGGAUCAAACAGG